GCCUGGGUGGCUCAGUGGUUGAGCACCUGCCUUCGGCUCAGGGAGUGAUCAUGGGGUCCUGGGAUCGAGUCCCACAUUAGGCU
This 83-nucleotide transfer RNA is filed under the name Canis lupus familiaris (dog). It matches the Rfam family "tRNA". Rfam says of the family: Transfer RNA (tRNA) molecules are approximately 80 nucleotides in length. Their secondary structure includes four short double-helical elements and three loops (D, anti-codon, and T loops). RNAcentral also lists the same sequence under 1 other name. The record is from Rfam by way of RNAcentral. Lineage: Eukaryota; Metazoa; Chordata; Mammalia; Carnivora; Canidae.